AUGAAAAUGAGGGAAUUUUACAAGAAGAAUGGUGGGCCUACAUUAGAGAAGGCACAUAUCAUAAAGCUUUUCAAAAAGGAGGAGCUUAAACCAAUUUUAAAGAGCAACAAUUUAAUAGGAAAAGGUGCCUUCGGUGAAGUUUACAAGGGUCUUCUUGACAAUAAACCGGUUGCAGUAAAGAAGCCAAUUAAUGGUAGUGUGAUGGAGAAUGAACAGUUUGCAAAUGAAGUCAUCAUUCAAUCCCAAGUCAUCCACAAGAACAUUGUUAGGCUGAUAGGUUGUUGCCUAGAAGUUGAUACCCCCAUGUUGGUAUACGAGUUUAUCUCCAAAGGUAGCCUUCAUGACAUUCUUCACAAUAGUUAUAUCAAGGUCGAUCUCAGCUUGGAUGCGCGUUUAAGUAUUGCUGCACAGUCAGCGGAUGGUCUAGCCUAUAUGCAUUCAAAGGCCAAUAUUAAAAUUCUACAUGGUGAUGUUAAACCAGCAAAUAUACUAUUGGAUGAUAACUUUCUACCGAAGAUUUCAGAUUUCGGUAUAUCCAGGUUGAUUGUGAGGGACAAGCAGCACACAGGAUCAGUCAUCGGAGACAUGAAUUAUAUGGACCCAAUAUAUCUGCAAGAAGGCCUACUCACCGAAAAAAGUGAUGUCUAUAGUUUUGGAGUUGUCAUCUUAGAGCUUAUAACCAGGAAGAAAGCCACACAUUCUGACAAUACUAGCUUGGUAAAGAAUUUUCUUGAAGCUCGUAAGAAAGGAAAGAAAGCAACUGAGUUUUUUGACAAGGAAAUUGCAGUAACAAAAGAUUUGGAGCUUCUUGAUAGUCUAGCAGAUAUGGCCAUGGAUUGCCUUAGCCUUGAUGUGGAUCGAAGACCAAUGAUGACGGAGGUAGCUGAGCGGCUCCUCAUACUGAGUAGAUCUCGGAAGUGUAGAUCGUUUUCGAGUUUAAAACAUGAGUAG
RNAcentral lists this ribosomal RNA (951 nucleotides) under Triticum aestivum (bread wheat). RNAcentral describes it as "partial small subunit ribosomal RNA". The record is from RNAcentral. Lineage: Eukaryota; Viridiplantae; Streptophyta; Magnoliopsida; Poales; Poaceae.